Molecule: long non-coding RNA, 8584 nt
Filed under: Setaria viridis
Lineage: Eukaryota; Viridiplantae; Streptophyta; Magnoliopsida; Poales; Poaceae
Description: long non-coding RNA (SVIR_LNC001243)
Source: RNAcentral
UUGUUUAUGAAAAAGACAAUCAUUGCAUACAGUGCCUCCAUUUAUUUCUUACAGUGACAAAUAUGAUUUGCAUAACACAGCCUUUUAAUUUUCUGAUUCAUUCACCAAUUAUUAACCACUGUGCACGAACCGCCUAAUGAUCCGGAUCAGCUCGUCCGAGGCCUCCCCGCACGGCUCCGUGACGAAGAAGGCGUGCCCCUGCCCCUCGAACACGACAAGCUCGACCUCCUUGCCGGCCGCCCUCAGCCUCGCGACGUACUCCCCGACGCGGUCGUGGAGCACGUCCUGGUCGGGGUCGAGGACGAGCACCGGCGGGAAGUCGCCGCCGAGGUCGCCGAACGGGACGCUCCCCGGCGCGAGCGGGUUCGCGAUCGGGUGGUCCUUGGUGGCGCCCGCCGGCAGCGCCAGGCGCCACAACUGGUCGAACAGCGCCAUGCCCAUGGGCUCGCCGGGCGGGGACGCCGCCUCGGACGGCGUCAGCUCCUCGCCGCCGAAGUAGGGCCAGAGCAUCACCCAGCCGGCGAGCCGGAGCGGGGUGAGUGGGAGCUCCCCGGACCCGUGGCGCACAGAGAUGUGGUGCGCCAAGUUGCCGCCGGCCGAGUCGCCGGUGACGAACACCCGGCGGAACUCGGCCGACUCGGCGAGCCACAGGUCGGCGCCGGCGCCGGACGCGGCGGCGGCGGCCUGGGAGCGGAGCCAGGAGAAGACGGACUCGGCGCGAGGCGGUAGUCGGCGGAGAGCACGACGGCGGGCAGCUCGGCGGCGAGGCGGAGCGCGCCGGCGUGGAAGUUGAUCACCUCGAAGCUAGCGACGCAGAAGCCGCCGCCGUGGAAGUACACGAGCACCGGCAGCUUCUUCUCCUCCACCCCGCCGCCAGCGCCGGCGGUGGAGAGCCGGUACAUGCGGAGCCGGAGGCCGUGCGCGCCGUCGUAGACGACGUCCUUCCACUCCACGGGUAGGUCCGGCGGCGGCACGCCGCCCACGAGCGGGAACACCGAGUAGUCCGUGGACCGCCUCACCGUGCCGUGUGCAGUUGGCAGUUGCUUGUCUGAUCAUGUGACCAUGUCUAAUUCCAACGCUCAAUUCGGCUCACCAUUUUCCGUUUGAAAUCUAGCUAAAAUCAUUCUUGACGUCCGUAGCUCGUACUUUUUGUGUUGAAGUCUGUGCCGAAUGCCUUUAAGCUUUUUUGAAAAGCGCAGGAAAGAAAUGGCCAAAUGUCGUGCGCUUGUUGGAUUGAAAAGGAAGACGCAUCGCGUUCGCAUUGCAGCUAGAAUCUAGACACUACGCUUUGGAUUGCUGUUUCUCAUCAGCAUGGAAGGCGACGCGCCGCCGCGCGUCGUCGAGGACUGCCGCGGCGCGCUCCGCGUGCUCAGCGACGGCACCGUCGUCCGGUCCACGCCGCCGAUCGCCGGCGACACCGAGGGCGUCCGCGCCGACCCGUCCGUCGAGUGGAAGGACGCUGUCUACGACGCGGCGCAUGGCCUGGGCCUCCGCAUCUAGAUGCCCGCCGCCGCGGCAGCCGUGGUCUACUUCCACGGCGGCGGCUUCUGCAUCGGCUCCUACGCGUGGCCGAUCUUCCACUCGCGAAAAAACACUCACGAAAACACACGCUUGCUGUCACAUAUUAUCAGCUCUUUUCCAAGACGUCAUUCAAUUGUUUUCUUUGAGGAGGAUAAUCUGUCCGAAUUGCUGAGUCAUCAUGGUUACCAAGUGGACCAAGAGUUAUCUUUGCUUCCUGUCACUCCGGCUCUCGAAUCAUGUGAUCAGCUCGAUCACCAAGAGCUCGAUCUGAAUAAGUCCACUUCGUCUUCCCUCUCGAAUCAUGUGAUAAGUCCAUGAUACAUUAACAUCAGUCUAUACAUUAUUACUUUAUUAGUCCAUCAUUACUUAAUUAGUCCAUUAUUACUUAAUUAGUCCAUUAUUACUUUAUUGCCGUGGACUGACUCGCAACUCAUCGUAGCUGUCAAUCUAACCCUCCCACCUCCCUCCCCUGCUCACACGCGCUGCCCCUCCUUCCCCUCCUCACGCGCAGGCAGCCGUAUCGAACUGGCGUCAGUCAGCUAGAUCUCCGCCUUACAGGUAAAAUAUUUCUGUGUAUUUCUGUUUUCUGUUUAGAAUUAAGCAGAGAUUGCAUGAUGCUAGUAAGCAGUCAUCCCAUAUGUUGAACACCUUAUAUGCCUUAGUUUCCAUUCCAGUGUGAUUAGUUCCUUUGUGUGCUUGUACCAACAACUUGAUCUAAUCUUGGCAUAUGGGAAUUAAAUCAGCUGGCCCAUGGCUGGAGGGAAUUCCACCAUAGACUGCUCCUACGAUGCACUGGAGCAAUGCUCCUCUAUGAUUACAUGCGAUGCCUCCUCAUGGGACAAGAGCUUUGGAGAGAAGAUAUGGCUUAUGAACUCACUCCAGCUCAUCAGUGCCGUCCUGGCUGGAGUCAUAGUCGGGAUAGGCAUCUACGGCCAGCGCUACCGCCACCACCGCUUCACCAGGUUUAUCUUCCUCGGAGCCACGACCCUGUUCUUGCCUGUCGUCUCCACUGUUGUCUCCAUGGGCGCCGGGAACAGUAACCACAGCAUAUAUGACCUGGAGGGCUCUCGGUUGAUUGCAGAGUGCCAUCCAGGAAGUCACUCGGUCCUGGUUGUAAUAUGGGCAUUCCUUGUUCAGAUCAUCAUGAUCAAUACCAGUGCAGUAGUUGCUGUCGAUGAUAGAGAAGGUGGAAACGUAGGUCCUCCAUUUGAGCUGCUUGUUCAGGGUGUCUGGACCUUUUACCUUGGUAUCAGCUAUCUCAUUCUCGCCGCUCGCGACAAUUAUUAUGUAGUCACACCUUUUACCUUGGUAUCAGCUAUUCUUGCCUCUGAAGCCACACCUUUUGCUCUCACGUGUGCCAAAAUGGUAUUGAAAUAUUAUGCAUAUGAAAAGGCGCGACAAUCCUUUGCUCUCGGACGCAAUCCCCAUCUUAUUUUUGGAUACAUGAAGCAACAAUCGUUACAAGAAACAAGUCAGGAUGGUGAACCAAUGGUAGCUGAGGAUGCACCUCCCCCGCUGCUGGUUAUGGGAGAAGAGAAAAGACACGUGGAGAAGCAGCCUCUUGGGUAUGUGUUCAAGGAUGACUCAUGGACAACUUCGCAUAACAAUGGCCUGGUGACUAUUGAUAGAGUUUGGAGGAUGGAUAACGUGCUUCCAACAUCAACACUGAAACCACAAAAAGACUUAUGCUUGUCAUUUGCAUUGUUCAAGUUGUUGCGGUGCCGAUUUGCAAGGUACAAGGUCAGAACUGCUGCCUCCAAGGGCACCUUCAGUUUUUUCUGGAGCUUAUUGCUGAAGGAUGGCGAACAUGAUAGGGUCUUUUUGGUCAUUUCGGAUGAGGUUUCUUUCCUUCAUGAUUAUUAUUAUUCAUCCCUCCCAGUCUCCUAUUCCAAGUAUUGGUUGCCCGUUGCCGGUAUCUUGAUCUCACUACUGAGCAUAGCUUACUGUUGUGCAUUGAUGAUCACAGCAACGCUUGCAUCCCUGUCGUUGCCGAAGGAUCUAUCCGCACCUCAGUUUGCAUGCUAUUUCUUUUGCAUUCGAGGAAAACUGAUGAGCGACACCGAGUAUAAAGGUUAUGGGAAUGGGUACCUCGGUAUGGUGCUAGUAAUUUUGCUUUCGGUGUUAGUCAUGAUGUCUGAGGUGAGGGACAUAGCUACCUACAUCUACUCCAACUGGACUAAAGUUGCCGUCACCUGCCACCUUGUAAACCAUGAGCAUUCACUUCUCAAGAAGAAAUGGAUUGGCCUUCUGCUGCGUUGUCGAUGCAAGCUGAUGAAGCAUUGGGAUGAGAAAAUAGGUCAGUGCACUAUGCUGGAGAUUCGCCCGAGCACAACCCUGCCUGUACUAAUUCUCAGGCGUCUCCUCCACUUACCAGACCACAAGAGGAAGGUCAAGGUGCCUGCAGCAGUGAAGGUUUGCAUCAUGGAAGUUGUAAGAAGCACUAGAAAUGGAGACCUUAGCAAUGGCACAGCAUCUCUCCGCUGCCGGGGCCAAGUUGGUGAAAGGCUCCUCUGGGCUUGCAACACCAAGAGUACGUCUUAUACCAUACUGACAUGGCACAUCGCCACAUGCAUCCUCGAGGUCAGGUACCCACACCGGCUUGAUCAACGACAAGGUUCUUCUUCUCCAAUUCCGAACACGGAUUAUAAGAUCGUUGCCACUCACCUAUCAAGGUACUGUGCUUACCUUGUGACAUGGUGCCCUGAGUUACUCCCUGAUGAUGAUGCAUGGAGCAGGAGCCUGUACGAGGAUGUCAAGAAGGAUGUUGAGCGUGUACUUGCCGGCUGCACAGCAGGAGACUCACUGACGCCAGAAGCAAAUUGCCAACAGCUGAUCGAAGUGCUGAGUGCAGAUGCGAAGCAUGAAGUGCUCAAGGAAGGCGCUAGGCUUGGAAAGCAGUUGUUGGCGCUGGUGGUCGAAGGUGAGGACGAUAUGGCGGCGUGGAAGUUACUGGCUGAAUUUUGGUCGGAGAUGAUCGUGUAUGUCGCGCCAUCCGACAACCUCAAAGGUCAUUCGAAGGCCAUCGCCAGGGGUGGCGAGCUGAUAAAUCUGCUCUGGGUGUUGCUCUUCCAUGCUGGGAUCGUCAGUAGGCCAGGUGAGGACGACGGUGUUGCUCCUACUUCUGCUGGCGUGGUUUAGUAGAGUCUCCUGUGUUUGGAACUACUGUUUCCUCCUUGUUUCGGAUUCUUCAUCGUGGUGCGUUGUCUGCAGUUGUUUGUGUAUGUUGAGUUCAUUUCUUAUACCAGAAUUUGUUAACUUGUGGCAGCAUGUGACUCCAUCUUGGUAAUCAGAUCAUCAAUUGUAACAAGUCUAUUUAGAGGUCCUAUAAUAUUGUCGAGACUCGAUAUUCAGAUGUAAUGUUAAAUUAUUUCUACGUACUGUAUUGUGAUCAAUAUAUAUAUUUUAAUUUGGUAUUGUAAUGAAGUGCUUGUAUAUUACACUAUUACUAAUUGGAGGCUCCUAAAUCCUCACGAUGUGCUCUAGAAAAAUAGAUAAAUCUUAUAAAUUCCCACAAAAUUAAAAUUAGAAAUAUCCAACCGUCAAUCCAGUAGACUCUAAUCAUAAUAGCCAUUGGAUCUAUUAUGUUUUCGAAAAACUUAAUCACAUCCCUCAUUAUAAUAAUGACCUCAUUAUAAUAAUAGUAUAAAGUAACUCCUAAUUCUAUAUCGAAAUUUCCCACCUCUAGCAUAGGUGGGUAAUUUAUAUGGUUGGCAUCAUAACUACACAUCCAGUUUGUAGCUGUGAAUCCAUUGAGCCGGUUAUGAUGCUGGAACACAACCAGUGGUGGAAGAUGGAACAAAUUUAGGAGUACGGAAUAAAUUUAAGGUCUGACGAAAUCAAAAAUUGAAAGUAACCAAAAAGAUAUCCUUUUCAUUAUAAUAGCACGAAACAGUGAAGGGCGGAAUAAAUUGCCAGCUCGAUGAUCAAACAUUUAGGAGAUAAUAGCUGCAGGUCAAGAGAUGAUCAAACAUUUAGGAAACAACACAUGAAAUGCACAGCCACCGAUUGACCAAAACGAAAAGGAAAUUAAAAUGAAUGCCUAAUGAUUUGAUUUCAAAUAAAAAAUGCUAAAAAUGAAAAUUUGCAAUCUGUACCUCUCAAUUCAGCCUUGCCCUUGCCCUUGGACUCCAUUUUAGCCUGUGCACUUCUGAUUCCCUGCGUUGUACGCUGCUUCUUGUAACACCAAUGGUGUUUACUAUAAAUUAAACCUUACUUAAGCACUAAUGAGGAGAAAUAAAAAGGAAAAGAGAAAAGAAAAGGAGAAAUACAGAAAAGAAGACUUGGUCAAACAAGGUUGAAUUAGAGAGUUCACUAAGUCAACGAUGGUCAAAUUAAGUCAAAAAGGUGAAUUUGGAUCAAUUGUGACAAAUGGAGUGGAUUAAAUUCAAAUCCAGUUUGAAUUUUUAAAUAUAAACUUGAUUUGGAAAGAGGAGUCAAAUGUGGUCAAGUACCCAUGUUUGAGUGCUGUUUCAAAAGGAUUUUAUAUAACAACUUUGGAAAACAUUCUACUAAGAGUUUGAGUAUAAUGUGUAUAGAACACUUUGGACUUGAUGUGGUUCACAGAAAAUGGAAUUUGGGUAUUUCAAUUGAAGCUCAAAUUUGAACUUUGUGCUGUUUGGAGACUUAAGCAGAUUCUCAGUUCAGUAUCUGUAACUGAAACUCAUACAGUUCAUAAUCAAAUCUUCAAAACUCUUAAUCUCUCAAACCAUGGAUCCUUUGAACAAAGUUCAUAUCCAUCAUUUGUAUACCUAUGUUACAUCUACAUUUUUGUUUAUUGGUGCUUGAAGAGAUUGUGUUUGGUUUGGAUGAAUUUUGCUUAAGAAAGAAGGAAUGUUUCUGUGUACCGAAGCCAAAACAUAUAGCAGUAAGGGUGCUUUUGGUUGGGCUUUCCAACCUACUUUUGCAAGUCAAAAGCUAACCAAAGGACCUAAAAGCCACAUAUGCUUUAGGUUAAAAGCUUCUUUUGCUCUAGGGUGUGUUUGAUUGGGCUGUGACUUUUGGAAAAGCUCCUGUGAGCUGUGGGAUGUAGAAAAGCAGUUGUGAGAAAGUAGAUUGGGCUGUGAUUUUGAUGUGUUCUUCAUCCAUCAAAGUAAUUGGUCCACAUAAAUAGAACAAUAUUCAUCAAAAGACUUAUACAAUGAUACUAUCCCUCAACAUUACUGUCCUCUUGUCGCACUAACCAAAGCAUCAGCUAUCUUAGUACGAAUGGUAUUCAUGGUAUCCUCAUUCUCCACACGUUUCUCAUCUUCGGAUAUGACCUUUCUCGUCUACUAUUUAUUGAUGAAAUAUUUUUUAUUUCCAUAACCAUAUCCAUUAGUGGGUUCCACUUGUCAUUCUCGGUGCCUAUCGUUUCUUUUUUUCUUUUUGCCUCGACCGUGUCUUCUAGCAUAGGACGAGCAUCGUCGCCCAAGCUCAGUCCCAGGAUGGAGAGGAGCUCGAGCUUGCCUGGGCCAUAGCCGCCCAAUGCGAGCUUUGCCUGCGCCAUGGCUGCCCAGCUCGAGCUUGCCAACGCCAUGGCCGCCUAGCUUGAAGACGAAGUACACCACCUUGGUGCGCAGUAGGAAGUUGCGCUCGAUGGUGAAGACGAUGAGCGUGACGAGCCACUGGCUGAGGAGGUGGCCGGAGAAGAUGGUGGUGACCAUGACACAACACUUUCAGAUCUCCAGCCCCAAGAGGAUGCGCCCUCUGCAGGGGCCGCACGACGACGCUGACAAUGAGCAGCGCGAGGACGAGGACGAGCACGGAGAGCUCGAGGCUGAGGCGCGCCUGGCAGUGGCACCGUGCCGCAAAGGCGGGUGUCCGGGAGCCAUCCCUGUUGCGGAAGAGGUCCUCCUCGUGGUCGGCAAUCCAUCCGAGCUACAAUCCAUCGUCGGCAAUGCAUCAUUAAGAAAAAUAGUAUCUGGAAAAGAUAUGGGUAGUUUAUUGUCAGUGCAGAAGAUCUGAGCUACAAGGUUUAGAGGAAGGCAGGUCCCGUAAUGCCGUUGUCGUAGAUAGGUCUAUUUUACAUCGCUAUUGGCUUGUUCAUUGUUAUUGAGGUUAUUGCUGGGUUACAAUCUAUGGUUCUGGUUUUUGUCGGACCAGCUACAGUAAGAUCGCAUCGAGUUUUGUCAGUGUACCUAUCAUAAAAUCCAGUAAAAUUCACUUGAAAAUUACACGCAAAUCGGCAAAUGUUCUGUAUUUUGUCAAAGAAGAAAAAGGAAGUUGUGUUACAGGAUAACAACUAUAAUCUUAUUGGGGCAAGAAAUUAGACAUGCGGAAUUUUUACCACAUAUUGUUUGCGCAUUUCAUUGCCAAAAAAAGGCAUUGAUCAGCCCAUCUAAACGUCUUAAAUAAAUGAAUGCAACACAUACCGUUCAUCUGAUACUGUUGUAAUAUGUAUCUGCCAUCUUCUAAAUCUCAACUGAAAACUUACAUCCCUAGCCAUUGCAAUAGCAACUUGUCUCUAUCAUCCUCAGUCAAUCAAGUAACAGACAUCAGGAAUGCACCACCACUCGCUGUCAUCUCAGCCGUAUGAUUCUAAAUUUCUAAUUAAUUACUCCCUUCAUCCUAAAAGACUAUUCGUUUAGUCUUCAAAACUUAUCCUACAAAGAGUGUUUAUAUAACUUUCAGACCAUCCAACAAAGACCUUCAUAAUACCUUCUGGCCCAGUGAACGAAUCGAUUAAUUACCCCCAUCAUCGAUGCCCGAUCCAGACUCGCUAAAUAAGGAAGGCUAAUAGGUCUGACAAUUACUGCAAGCCUGCAUGCAUAAUUAAUUAUACUCGGCAAUCCAUCCGAUUAAGAAGAGUUAUUAGGGGUACUUUGAACUUCUAGUAUUUCUACUAUCGUGUCUAAAAUUUUCUAAACGAACUGUCUUUGUGGGACGGAGCGAGUAGGCGCCUCUAGUUGUUGAAUUAUAUCUGUUUAUGAAAAAAGACAUUCACCAAUUAUUAACCACUGUGCACGAACCGCCUAAUGACCCGGAUCAGCUCGUCCGAGGCCUCCCCGCACGGCUCCGUGACGAAGAAGGCGUGCCCCUGCCCCUCGAACACGACGAGCUCGACCUCCUUGCCGGCCGCCCUCAG